RNAcentral lists this ribosomal RNA (1675 nucleotides) under gut metagenome. Its description in RNAcentral is "bacterial LSU rRNA". It matches the Rfam family "Bacterial large subunit ribosomal RNA", at positions 1226 to 2925 of the family's 2925-position model. The record is from RNAcentral.
UGGUAGAGGAGCAUUGUUAGCGCAGCGAAGCUGUACCGAUAAGGAGCAGUGGAGUGCUAAGAAGAGAGAAUGCCGGAAUGAGUAGCGAGAGGAAGGUGAGAAUCCUUCCGGCCGAAUAUCCAAGGUUUCCAGAGUAAAGCUGAUCUGCUCUGGGUAAGUCGGGGCCUAAGGCGAGGUCGAAAGACGUAGUCGAUGGAUAACAGGUGGAGAUUCCUGUACUAUGUGUACCCAGAACUGUGGGGACGCAUGUGGAGAGCAUGAGCCGGGAAAGAGAAAACCGGUACAAGCGGGGUAGGAGUAAGGACAGCAAAUCUUCCUUACAAUCCGAAGACGUAAUGUGGACCGAACUAAAGUAGGGAAGCAUGUGAGCCAUGUGCCAAGAAAAGCCGCUAUUGUGAUACACAUACCCGUACCGUAAACCGACACAGGUGGAUGAGGAGAGAAUCCUAAGGCCGACGGAAGAAGCAUUGUUAAGGAACUCGGCAAAAUGACCCCGUAACUUCGGGAGAAGGGGUGCCCUGUGAAAGCAGGGCCGCAGAGAAUAGGCUCAAGCAACUGUUUAGCAAAAACACAGGUCUAUGCGAAACCGAAAGGUGAGGUAUAUGGGCUGACGCCUGCCCGGUGCUGGAAGGUUAAGAGGAGAAGUCAGGCAACGAAGCUUCGAAUUUAAGCCCCAGUAAACGGCGGCCGUAACUAUAACGGUCCUAAGGUAGCGAAAUUCCUUGUCGGGUAAGUUCCGACCCGCACGAAAGGCGUAAUGAUUUGAGCACUGUCUCGACAAUGCAUCCGGUGAAAUUGAAGUACCAGUGAAGAUGCUGGUUACCUGCGCCAGGACGGAAAGACCCCAUGGAGCUUUACUCCAGCUUGAUACUGGGAUUCGAUACUGUAUGUACAGGAUAGGUGGGAGACGUUGAGCAUAGAACGCCAGUUUUAUGUGAGUCGCUGUUGGGAUACCACCCUUGCAGUAUUGGAUUUCUAACCUGCACCCAUGACCUGGGUGGGGGACAAUGUCUGGCGGGGAGUUUGACUGGGGCGGUCGCCUCCGAAAGGGUAUCGGAGGCGCUCAAAGGUUCCCUCAGAAUGGUUGGAAACCAUUCGAAGAGUGCAAAGGCAGAAGGGAGCUUGACUGUGACACCGACGGGUGGAACAGGUACGAAAGUAGGACUUAGUGAUCCGGUGGUAUAAAGUGGGAUUGCCAUCGCUCAACGGAUAAAAGCUACCCUGGGGAUAACAGGCUUAUCACUCCCAAGAGUUCACAUCGACGGAGUGGUUUGGCACCUCGAUGUCGGCUCAUCGCAUCCUGGGGCUGUAGCAGGUCCCAAGGGUUGGGCUGUUCGCCCAUUAAAGCGGUACGCGAGCUGGGUUCAGAACGUCGUGAGACAGUUCGGUCCCUAUCCGGCGCAGGCGGAGGAUAUUUGAGAGGAGCUGUCCUUAGUACGAGAGGACCGGGAUGGACGGACCACUGGUGUAUCUGUUGGCUAUCAGAGCCAUGGCAGAGUAGCCAAGUCCGGAAGGGAUAAACGCUGAAGGCAUCUAAGCGUGAAGCCCCCCUCAAGAUGAGAUAUCCCUCAGAAAUGAGUAAGACCCCUUGAAGACUACGAGGUAGAUAGGAAUGAGGUGUAAGCACAGCAAUGUGUUCAGCUGACAUUUACUAAUCGGUCGAGGGCUUGACCAA